CACAGGUGCUGCAUGGCUGUCGUCAGCUCGUGUCGUGAGAUGUUCGGUUAAGUCCGCUAACGAGCGCAACCCUCGCUGUGUGUUAUAUGUGUCACACGGGACUGCCGGUCUUAAGCCGGAGGAAGGUGGGGAUGAUGUCAAGUCAGCAUGGCCUUUAUAUCCUGGGCUACACACACGCUACAAUGGCCAACACAAUAGGUUGCUAAGCCGCGAGGUGGCGCCAAUCCAUAAAGUUGGUCUCAGUUCAGAUUGUAGGCUGCAACCCGCCUGCAUGAAGAUGGAGUUGCUAGUAACCGCAGGUCAGCUAUACUGCGGUGAAUACGUUCCCGGGGCUU
RNAcentral lists this ribosomal RNA (335 nucleotides) under uncultured Leptolinea sp. RNAcentral's name for it is "bacterial SSU rRNA". It matches the Rfam family "Bacterial small subunit ribosomal RNA", at positions 1033 to 1382 of the family's 1533-position model. Lineage: Bacteria; Bacillati; Chloroflexota; Anaerolineae; Anaerolineales; Anaerolineaceae. The record is from RNAcentral.